Long non-coding RNA from Puntigrus tetrazona (Sumatra barb), 315 nucleotides. RefSeq lists it as uncharacterized. Lineage: Eukaryota; Metazoa; Chordata; Actinopteri; Cypriniformes; Cyprinidae. The record is from RefSeq and is a predicted model, not a curated record. The transcript is spliced from 3 exons.
GCGAACUGCAUUUUUCAUCCGCUCCACAAGGCGGCAGAAGCGCCUUUCAGAGACGUCGAAUCCCCGACUGAUCAGAAGACGUAGAAACCUGGGAAGAAAACACAACAGUUCGCGUCAAUAGUAAGAGAGGUGUUGAACAGAAGCAGAGCCCUGGAGCGUGAGGACAGACAUUGACCGCAAUGAAGGACGUGUGCUGAAGGACGGGACUCAUUUUCAAUGAUGCCAACCUUCCUUUUUCGUGUUCAGACUGAAGUACAUUAAAGUGGAUCUGUUUUGUCUUUUGCGAAAGGAAGAAGACAAGCGUCAAGUGAUUUC